GUCUAUGGCCAUGCUACCCUGAACAAGCCUGAUCCUAUCUGAUCUCAGAAGUUAAGCAGGGUCGGGCCUGGUUAGUACUUGGAUGGGAGACCACCUAGGAAGACCAGGUGCUGUAGGCA
RNAcentral lists this ribosomal RNA (119 nucleotides) under Pteropus alecto (black flying fox). Lineage: Eukaryota; Metazoa; Chordata; Mammalia; Chiroptera; Pteropodidae. The record is from RNAcentral.